AUUUCUUUAAUACGUCGAACCUACUGUACGCAAUAGGGUACACAGACGAAAACGAGCUCAUGGAGAAAAUAGUUUACACCGUUCAAUACAUAAAGCCCUCUUUGUGCAACGAAUUCUAUAAUCGAGUUGGAUUUUCGGAGCCGAAGUCAACGCCGCCGUACGUGCAAUGUGGAUUCGCGGCCAACAACAAGAAGGACUGCGUCUGGGAG
Molecule: long non-coding RNA, 209 nt
Organism: Ostrinia nubilalis (European corn borer)
Lineage: Eukaryota; Metazoa; Arthropoda; Insecta; Lepidoptera; Crambidae
Exons: 3
Source: RefSeq, a predicted model, not a curated record